This 434-nucleotide ribosomal RNA is filed under the name uncultured bacterium. RNAcentral's name for it is "partial 16S ribosomal RNA". It matches the Rfam family "Bacterial small subunit ribosomal RNA", at positions 29 to 508 of the family's 1533-position model. The record is from RNAcentral.
AACGAACGCUGGCGGCAGGCCUAACACAUGCAAGUCGAGCGCGCCCUUCGGGGUGAGCGGCGGACGGGUGAGUAACGCGUGGGAACGUGCCCUUCUCUGCGGAAUAGCCUCGGGAAACUGAGAGUAAUACCGCAUACGCCCUUUGGGGGAAAGAUUUAUCGGAGAAGGAUCGGCCCGCGUUGGAUUAGGUAGUUGGUGGGGUAAUGGCCCACCAAGCCGACGAUCCAUAGCUGGUUUGAGAGGAUGAUCAGCCACACUGGGACUGAGACACGGCCCAGACUCCUACGGGAGGCAGCAGUGGGGAAUCUUAGACAAUGGGGGCAACCCUGAUCUAGCCAUGCCGCGUGAGUGAUGAAGGCCUUAGGGUUGUAAAGCUCUUUCAGCUGGGAAGAUAAUGACGGUACCAGCAGAAGAAGCCCCGGCUAACUCCGUGC